Molecule: long non-coding RNA, 973 nt
Organism: Raphanus sativus (radish)
Lineage: Eukaryota; Viridiplantae; Streptophyta; Magnoliopsida; Brassicales; Brassicaceae
Exons: 3
Source: RefSeq, a predicted model, not a curated record
AAAUCGCUAAUAAUACUAAACGAUAUCUUACCUGAAAUCCCUAAUAAUACUAAACGACAUCUAUUUAGUUUGAUUUUAUAUCACUUUCAAUCGUGGGUUGUCAAGAUUAUAUAGAUGAAGCUUGAUGAUUUUUUUAUUCUGUCCUCCACUGAUCUUCCCCGAACAACAUAUUAAGAAGCUGUACAGAUGGUGAAGCCUGCGGAAGGAACAACCACACUCGCUUUUUUCUUCCAAGGUGUCAUGGUCGCUGCUGAUUUUUUGGGCUAGGAGAGGAGGCGAAUCAUCGAGAUGAAGGAGAAGAUUGAUGUCAAUAAGAAGCCAAUGACUAGUCUCUGGGUUUCUUCUUGUGUGAAUCAGAGGUGAUGAGGAGAAUUCUAAAUAUACAUUCAAGGAUAUAAAACGAAGGUUAUAUAAUGUCAUUCUACUUUACAACUUUGUCUUGCGUUUCAACCUGAUUUCCCACGAUUGCCCACGGUCAGAAGAGGAAGAUAAGUAGUGUGUCAAUGCCAUUAAAGAGAAAACAGGAACUCCAAUCAAGAAGCAGAGAAAGGAACCGAACCUGUGAGUUUGGAGGAAGAAGAGAGGUUAAGACAUGAACUGGAGGAGAUAGAAGCAAAGUAUUAGGAAAAUAUGAAAAAAAUUGAUAGCAAAGAAAAGAAAAGAAGAAACAAAGCUGACAAAGAGAGAGUCAUCUCAAAAAUAGGUAGAACAAUUUGAUUAAGCCCUGUUCGUUGCUCGAACGCAGCGUUAGAGUGCAGCUACAACAAAUAACAAACGUGAGAAAUAUUGAUGCAGUGUGUUGUUGUACGUUUGCCGCCGGUGAUGUCACUGGUAGUGUUUUCACCUUUUUCAUUGUCGCUGUAAAUUUCAUGGGCUCCUACCCAUGUAUUAUGUAUCGCUAGCAGCAGAUUUAUGCAUUCUCAAACACAUAAUCGUAAUCAGUUGCUGAUCUGUCACUUUAAAUUUUUUUAUA